GGAGGGGCAUCAGGGGGAAAGGGAGGGGCAGCGGUAGGGGCUCGCCUGGAAGCUCCUACGAGAGGAGGGAGGAGGAGAGAAAGAGGAAGAGGAUAAGGAGAGAAAGAGAGAAAGAGAAGAAGAGGAUAAGAAGAAGAAUGCACGGGAGAGAGGAGGAUGGAGAGAAAAUUAAGAUAAGGAAGAGAGAGGGGGCGGUGGCAGGUGGGGAGGGCCUUUUAUCCCGGUUGGUAAUUCCAACCAGGACCAAUGUUUUAAUCCCCGUUGGUAAUUCCAAUCAGGAUAAAAGGGUGGACCUUUUAUACCUGUUGGGAUUCCGAACCGGGAUAAAAGACCCCUCCAGUCCUCUGACCUUUACAACCGGGACUAAAGGGGCCCUUUAGUCCUGGUUGGUGAGUCCCCUACCCAUGGCUGAGUUUCAGACCCGGUUGGUGAAUUUUAGUUAGAGCUAAAUUUAAAGUGG
RNAcentral lists this long non-coding RNA (460 nucleotides) under Setaria viridis. Its description in RNAcentral is "long non-coding RNA (SVIR_LNC010796)". The record is from RNAcentral. Lineage: Eukaryota; Viridiplantae; Streptophyta; Magnoliopsida; Poales; Poaceae.